RNAcentral lists this ribosomal RNA (301 nucleotides) under uncultured archaeon. RNAcentral describes it as "bacterial SSU rRNA". It matches the Rfam family "Archaeal small subunit ribosomal RNA", at positions 325 to 632 of the family's 1478-position model. The record is from RNAcentral.
ACGGGGUGCAGCAGGCGCGAAACCUCCACAAUGCACGCAAGUGCGAUGGGGCUACCCAAAGUGCUCCACACGGAGCUGUGGUGGAUGAGUAAUGUUCUCCGCUAGAAAGGAGAGGGCAAGGCUGGUGCCAGCCGCCGCGGUAAAACCAGCUCUUCAAGUGGUCGGGAUAAUUAUUGGGCUUAAAGUGUCCGUAGCUGGUAGAGUAAGUUCCUGGUAAAAUUGGGCAGCUUAACUGUCCUUAUGCUAGGGAUACUGCUCUACUAGAGGGCGGGAGAAGUCUGAGGUACUACAGGGGUAGGGG